RNAcentral lists this transfer-messenger RNA (361 nucleotides) under Atopobiaceae. RNAcentral describes it as "CACZNT01 sp902782635 Standard tmRNA". It matches the Rfam family "transfer-messenger RNA". From Rfam's summary of the family: Bacterial tmRNA, also known as 10Sa RNA or SsrA, is named for its dual tRNA and mRNA-like properties. Its role is to liberate the mRNA from a stalled ribosome. The record is from RNAcentral. RNAcentral also lists the same sequence under 1 other name. Lineage: Bacteria; Bacillati; Actinomycetota; Coriobacteriia; Coriobacteriales.
GGGGGCGACUGGUUUCGACAAGGUAGGUCUGAGAUGAGCAGCAGGCCGUGGUCUCCUCGCCACGUUAAACAGGGGUGCCGUCAAAUGAAUUGACGAGACUUCUUAUCAGGGCUAUGCCCUCGCCGCUUAGUUAAAAGCAGGCGCGUCCAACCGGGGACUCUCCCGACCCCGGGGCGACGUCAUCUUAGGGAGAUGCUCCGAGGGACGUAGUCGGUAUGCCCGAGGCUAAGAUCGAACCGACUGGGACGUGCGGCGCUUGUCGCUGGGCACCGAGCGUCCGAGACCUAACCAGCGACUGAGCCUGGAGAUACUCGUCAGGGAGCUGCUUUGGACCGGAGUUCGAUCCUCCGCGCCUCCACCA